CGGCAGCAGUUGCGCGCCGCUCGGCACUCCGCGCGCAUCACUCCGCUAUGGUGCCACAAUGACCUCGCUGCCCGGCAUGACCCACGACCCGUCGGCACCGCCGCCCCUGUUUCUGGACAGCCCGUACGUGUCGCCCGACUAUGGCAACCUGUCGCUGCUGCCGUCGCUGCAGGCCGGCGACGUCAGCUCGGGCAAGCUGUACCAGGUGCCCGUCGGCUUCAUCGUGCUCCUCUCCAUCUUCUACGGACUCAUCUCGCUGGUGGCCGUCGCCGGCAAUUUCAUGGUCAUGUGGAUCGUGGCCACGUCGCGGCGCAUGCAGACCGUCACCAACUUCUUCAUCGCCAACCUGGCCGUGGCCGACAUCAUCAUCGGACUGUUCUCCAUCCCUUUCCAGUUCCAGGCCGCUCUGCUGCAGCGCUGGGUGCUGCCAGAGUUCAUGUGCGCCUUCUGCCCGUUCGUCCAGGUGCUCUCGGUCAACGUGUCCAUAUUCACGCUGACCGCCAUCGCGCUGGACCGAUACCGUGCAGUCAUGUCGCCACUCAAGGCGCGCACCACUAAGCUGCGCGCCAAGUUCAUCAUCUGCGGCAUCUGGACGCUCGCGGUGGCGGCCGCGCUGCCGUGCGCGCUCGCGCUGCGCGUCGAGACGCAGGUCGAGUCGCACGCGCUCAACCUGACCAAGCCGUUCUGCCACGAGGUGGGCAUCUCGCGCAAGGCCUGGCGCAUCUACAACCACGUGCUCGUGUGCCUGCAGUACUUUUUCCCGCUGCUCACCAUCUGCUUCGUGUACGCACGCAUGGGCCUCAAGCUCAAGGAAAGCAAGUCUCCCGGCAACGCCCAGGGAGCCCGCGACGCCGGCAUCCUCAAGAACAAGAAGAAGGUGAUCAAGAUGCUGUUUGUCAUCGUGGCGCUGUUCGCCUUCUGUUGGCUUCCUUACCAGCUCUACAAUGUUCUCCGCGAAGUGUUCCCCAAGAUUGACAAGUACAAGUACAUAAACAUCAUAUGGUUCUGUACGCACUGGCUGGCCAUGAGUAACUCCUGCUACAAUCCUUUCAUUUAUGCCAUCUACAAUAUCAUUCCCCGCAAACCUAGCAGAGUGAGAAGUGAGGGCGAGCUUUGAGCCUGCAGGCGCGGCUACUUUCUGUACACGGGAUGGCUAUAGUCGGGCAAACCAUACAGGAGCGCUUCAAGCGCGAGUUCGCGACUCGCUGCACCUGCGGUGGCCAUCGCUACAAGCCGCCCAAGAGCCGCUUCGCCUCGUACGAG
RNAcentral lists this unclassified non-coding RNA (1263 nucleotides) under Dermacentor andersoni. Its description in RNAcentral is "rYamide receptor-like". Lineage: Eukaryota; Metazoa; Arthropoda; Arachnida; Ixodida; Ixodidae. The record is from RNAcentral.